This is a long non-coding RNA of Telopea speciosissima, 513 nucleotides long. RefSeq lists it as uncharacterized. The transcript is spliced from 2 exons. The record is from RefSeq and is a predicted model, not a curated record. NCBI's taxonomy places the organism in Eukaryota, Viridiplantae, Streptophyta, Magnoliopsida, Proteales, Proteaceae.
AAAACUUGGCAGUUUUGAUGAGGGACUUGCUUUAACAUCUGCACCACUAUGCUUCUCCAUCUCUAUGUUAGACUGCAGCACUUCAUUAGAUAGACACAGAGCCUCCAAAUGUGUAUCAUAUGGUGAUACACCUCUGCUUGGACAUUGCAAUUUCCUUCUUUGCCUGUACUUCCUACUUUCAAGCAAUCAAUUCUGUGGUUAGUAUUGGUCCCGCAGAAGCUAAAAUACAAGCACAAAAAAAGGUGUAAGUUCCCAUGAUAGGUGCAGUGAAAUUUCUGGAAAUCUGAUCUUUUCAUACUUAACAGUCAAAUGUUUCCAUGUACAAGCCAUUCUGAAAGAAAGAUUUUGUUGUCUGUUGUUUAUAUAUUAAAUCUAGGGAAAUUGUUUCUUGCAGCAUUGAAGACAUAAGUUAAGAUCACGGAGUGAAUGCAUGAUUAAGCUUUCUUCUCCACCCACUGGUUGAUGUAACAUGUCGCAUUGUUUGGGAUUGUCCAUCUCCAAUUAGUUUUAUCA